UACGUAGGGUGCGAGCGUUGUCCGGAAUUAUUGGGCGUAAAGGGCUCGUAGGCGGUUUGUCGCGUCGGGAGUGAAAACUCAGGGCUUAACCCUGAGCCUGCUUCCGAUACGGGCAGACUAGAGGUAUGCAGGGGAGAACGGAAUUCCUGGUGUAGCGGUGAAAUGCGCAGAUAUCAGGAGGAACACCGGUGGCGAAGGCGGUUCUCUGGGCCGGUACUGACGCUGAGGAACGAAAGCGUGGGGAGCGAACAGG
RNAcentral lists this ribosomal RNA (253 nucleotides) under uncultured bacterium. Its description in RNAcentral is "partial 16S ribosomal RNA". It matches the Rfam family "Bacterial small subunit ribosomal RNA", at positions 524 to 776 of the family's 1533-position model. The record is from RNAcentral.